GAGCGGGAAGAGCUCAAAUUUGAAAUCUGGUAGCCUUCGGUUGCCCGAGUUGUAAUCUAGAGAAGUGUUUUCCGUGCCGGCCCAUGUACAAGUCCCUUGGAACAGGGCGUCAUAGAGGGUGAGAAUCCCGUCCUUGACAUGGACCCCCGGUGCUUUGUGAUACACUUUCAACGAGUCGAGUUGUUUGGGAAUGCAGCUCAAAAUGGGUGGUGAAUUCCAUCUAAAGCUAAAUAUUGGCGAGAGACCGAUAGCGAACAAGUACCGUGAGGGAAAGAUGAAAAGCACUUUGGAAAGAGAGUUAAACAGUACGUGAAAUUGUUGAAAGGGAAACGAUUGAAGUCAGUCAUGCUCUUGGGACUUACCUCCCUUGAGUGGGGUCAACAUCAGUUUUGAUCGAUGGAUAAAGGCACGGGGAAGGUAGCACUCUCGGGUGAACUUAUAGCCUCGCGUCAUAUACAUUGAUUGGGACUGAGGAACGCAGCAUGCCUUAUGGCCGGGAUUCGUCCACGUACAUGCUUAGGAUGUUGACAUAAUGGCUUUAAACGACCCGUCUU
This 554-nucleotide ribosomal RNA is filed under the name Naganishia albida. Its description in RNAcentral is "eukaryotic LSU rRNA". It matches the Rfam family "Eukaryotic large subunit ribosomal RNA", at positions 96 to 655 of the family's 3401-position model. Lineage: Eukaryota; Fungi; Basidiomycota; Tremellomycetes; Filobasidiales; Filobasidiaceae. The record is from RNAcentral.